This 894-nucleotide ribosomal RNA is filed under the name uncultured organism. RNAcentral describes it as "bacterial SSU rRNA". It matches the Rfam family "Bacterial small subunit ribosomal RNA", at positions 556 to 1445 of the family's 1533-position model. The record is from RNAcentral.
GGGCGUAAAGGGUUUGUAGNUUGUCAGGUAUGUCGGGAUGGGAAAUUCGCGGGGCUCAACCCCCGGGGCUGCAUUCGAAACUGCAUGGCUAGAGUGCGGAAGAGGCAGCCGGAAUUCUUGGUGUAGCGGUGAAAUGCGUUGAUAUCAAGAAGAACACCGGAUGCGAAGGCGGCCUGCUGGUACGUUACUGACACUCAUACACGAAAGCUGGGGGAGCAAACAGGUUUAGAUACCCUGGUAGUCCCAGCUGUAAACGGUGUGCACUCGAUGUUGGCGGAAUUGUCCCCGCCAGUGUCCAAGCAAACGCGUUAAGUGCACCGCCUGGGGAGUACGGUCGCAAGAUUAAAACUCAAAGAAAUUGACGGGGACCCGCACAAGCGGAGGAGCAUGUGGCUUAAUUCGAUGCAACGCGAAGAACCUUACCUGGACUUGACAUAUAACUGCACGUCCCGUGAAAGCGGGAUUCCUUCGAGGGUGUUGUACAGGUGCUGCAUGGCUGUCGUCAGUUCGUGCCGUGAGGUGUUAGGUUAAGUCCUGCAACGAACGCAACCCCUGUGUUUAGUUGCCAUCAGGUAAUGCUGGGCACUCUAGACAGACCGCCCGUGCAAUCGGGAGGAAGGUGGGGACGACGUCAAGUCAGUAUGGCCCUUACGUCCAGGGCCGCACACGUGCUACAAUGACCGGUACAGAGGGCGGCGAUACCGCGAGGUGGAGCUAAUCCCUUAAAACCGGUCCCAGUUCGGAUUGGAGUCUGCAACUCGACUCCAUGAAGUUGGAUUCGCUAGUAACGGCGUAUCAGCUACGGCGCCGCGAUACGUUCCCGGGUCUUGUACACACCGCCCGUCACAUCAUGAAGCCGUCUGCACCCGAAGUCGCCGGCCCAACUUUUUUUUA